Molecule: non-coding RNA, 77 nt
Organism: Podarcis lilfordi (Lilford's wall lizard)
Lineage: Eukaryota; Metazoa; Chordata; Lepidosauria; Squamata; Lacertidae
Source: the annotation of a GenBank genome assembly
ACCUUGGUUCAGCUCAGCUGGUAUGGGCAUGGUGCUGAUGAUGCCAAUUUUUCAGGUUCAAUCCCUGUAUUGGGACA